AUGUCUUCAGUAGCAUAAAUACUAAAAUCAGAAUGAGACAGCAAAGAUUGGCAUGAGCCCUGAGCAAGGAUGGCAUGCAAAUUUGUAAAGCAUUCCAUAUUUUA
Molecule: small nuclear RNA, 104 nt
Organism: Monodelphis domestica (gray short-tailed opossum)
Lineage: Eukaryota; Metazoa; Chordata; Mammalia; Didelphimorphia; Didelphidae
Source: Ensembl